CCUUGAUGUGUAGGAUAGGUGGGAGGCUUUGAAGUGUGGACGCCAGUCUGCAUGGAGCCGACCUUGAAAUACCACCCUUUAAUGUUUGAUGUUCUAACGUGGACCCGUGAUCCGGGUUGCGGACAGUGUCUGGUGGGUAGUUUGACUGGGGCGGUCUCCUCCUAAAGAGUAACGGAGGAGCACGAAGGUUGGCUAAUCCUGGUCGGACAUCAGGAGGUUAGUGCAAUGGCAUAAGCCAGCUUGACUGCGAGCGUGACGGCGCGAGCAGGUGCGAAAGCAGGUCAUAGUGAUCCGGUGGUUCUGAAUGGAAGGGCCAUCGCUCAACGGAUAAAAGGUACUCCGGGGAUAACAGGCUGAUACCGCCCAAGAGUUCAUAUCGACGGCGGUGUUUGGCACCUCGAUGUCGGCUCAUCACAUCCUGGGGCUGAAGUAGGUCCCAAGGGUAUGGCUGUUCGCCAUUUAAAGUGGUACGCGAGCUGGGUUUAGAACGUCGUGAGACAGUUCGGUCCCUAUCUGCCGUGGGCGCUGGAGAAUUGAGGGGGGCUGCUCCUAGUACGAGAGGACCGGAGUGGACGCAUCACUGGUGUUCGGGUUGUCAUGCCAAUGGCACUGCCCGGUAGCUAAAUGCGGAAGAGAUAAGUGCUGAAAGCAUCUAAGCACGAAACUUGCCCCGAGAUGAGUUCUCCCUGACUCCUUGAGAGUCCUGAAGGAACGUUGAAGACGACGACGUUGAUAGGCCGGGUGUGUAAGCGCAGCGAUGCGUUGAGCUAACCGGUACUAAUGAACCGUGAGGCUUAACCUUACAACGCCGAAGCUGUU
RNAcentral lists this ribosomal RNA (819 nucleotides) under Escherichia coli. RNAcentral describes it as "partial 23S ribosomal RNA". It matches the Rfam family "Bacterial large subunit ribosomal RNA", at positions 2129 to 2925 of the family's 2925-position model. The record is from RNAcentral. Lineage: Bacteria; Pseudomonadati; Pseudomonadota; Gammaproteobacteria; Enterobacterales; Enterobacteriaceae.